UUGAGGACAGCAGAGGAAGCUGGAAUUCCCGGUGUAGUGGUGAAAUGCGUAGAUAUCGGGAGGAACACCCGUGGCGAAGUCGGCCUUCUGGGCUGUUCCUGACGCUGAAGGCGAAAGCUAGGGGAGCGAACGGGAUUAGAUACCCCGGUAGUCCUAGCUGUAAACGAUGGAUGCUGGGUUUGGGGGGUGUAAAUUCCCUCUGUGCCGAAGCAAACGCGUUAAGCAUCCCGCCUGGGGACUACGGCCGCAAGGCUAAAACUCAAACGAAUUGACGGGGGCCCGCACAAGCAGCGGAGCGUGUGGUUUAAUUCGAUGCUACACGAAGAACCUUACUUGGGUUUGACAUGCACGUGGUAGGGAACCGAAAGGGGACCGACCUUCGGGAGCGUGCACAGGUGCUGCAUGGCUGUCGUCAGCUCGUGCCGUGAGGUGUCGGGUUAAGUCCCGUAACGAGCGCAACCCUUGCCCUUAGUUACAAGUGUCUAAGGGGACUGCCCGGGACAACUGGGCGCGAAGGUGGGGAUGACGUCAAGUCAGCAUGGCCUUUAUAUCCAGGGCUACACACACGCUACAAUGGCCAGUACAAUAGGUAGCCAAGUCGUGAGACGGAGCCAAUCCUUAAAGCUGGUCUCAGUUCGAAUUGCAGUCUGCAACUCGACUGCAUGAAGCUGGAGUUGCUAGUAAUCGCAGGUCAGCCAUCCUCCGGUGAUACGUUCCCGGGCAUUGUACACACCGCCCGUCACGUCAUGGAAGCUGGCAACGCCUGAAGCCGGUG
Molecule: ribosomal RNA, 775 nt
Filed under: uncultured organism
Description: bacterial SSU rRNA
Rfam family: Bacterial small subunit ribosomal RNA
Source: RNAcentral